GACGAACGCUGGCGGCGUGCCUAAUACAUGCAAGUAGGACGCACAGUUUAUACCGUAGCUUGCUACACCAUAGACUGUGAGUUGCGAACGGGUGAGUAACGCGUAGGUAACCUGCCUAUUAGAGGGGGAUAACUAUUGGAAACGAUAGCUAAUACCGCAUAACAGUAUGUAACACAUGUUAGAUGCUUGAAAGAUGCAAUUGCAUCGCUAGUAGAUGGACCUGCGUUGUAUUAGCUAGUAGGUAGGGUAAUGGCCUACCUAGGCGACGAUACAUAGCCGACCUGAGAGGGUGAUCGGCCACACUGGGACUGAGACACGGCCCAGACUCCUACGGGAGGCAGCAGUAGGGAAUCUUCGGCAAUGGGGGGAACCCUGACCGAGCAGCGCCGCGUGAGUGAAGAAGGUUUUCGGAUCGUAAAGCUCUGUUGUUAAGGAAGAACGAGUGUGAGAAUGGAAAGUUCAUACUGGACG
RNAcentral lists this ribosomal RNA (471 nucleotides) under Streptococcus anginosus. RNAcentral's name for it is "bacterial SSU rRNA". It matches the Rfam family "Bacterial small subunit ribosomal RNA", at positions 28 to 484 of the family's 1533-position model. Lineage: Bacteria; Bacillati; Bacillota; Bacilli; Lactobacillales; Streptococcaceae. The record is from RNAcentral.